CGAGAGAGAGCUUGCUUUCUCGAGCGAGUGGCGAACGGGUGAGUAACGCGUGAGGAACCUGCCUCAAAGAGGGGGACAACAGUUGGAAACGACUGCUAAUACCGCAUAAGCCCACAGGUCGGCAUCGACCAGAGGGAAAAGGAGCAAUCCGCUUUGAGAUGGCCUCGCGUCCGAUUAGCUAGUUGGUGAGGUAACGGCCCACCAAGGCGACGAUCGGUAGCCGGACUGAGAGGUUGAACGGCCACAUUGGGACUGAGACACGGCCCAGACUCCUACGGGAGGCAGCAGUGGGGAAUAUUGCACAAUGGGGGAAACCCUGAUGCAGCGACGCCGCGUGGAGGAAGAAGGUCUUCGGAUUGUAAACUCCUGUUGUUGAGGAAGAUAAUGACGGUACUCAACAAGGAAGUGACGGCUAACUACGUGCCAGCAGCCGCGGUAAAACGUAGGUCACAAGCGUUGUCCGGAAUUACUGGGUGUAAAGGGAGCGCAGGCGGGAAGACAAGUUGGAAGUGAAAUCUAUGGGCUCAACCCAUAAACUGCUUUCAAAACUGUUUUUCUUGAGUAGUGCAGAGGUAGGCGGAAUUCCCGGUGUAGCGGUGGAAUGCGUAGAUAUCGGGAGGAACACCAGUGGCGAAGGCGGCCUACUAGGCACCAACUGACGCUGAGGCUCGAAAGUGUGGGUAGCAAACAGGAUUAGAUACCCUGGUAGUCCACACCGUANACGAUGAUUACUAGGUGUUGGAGGAUUNACCCCUUCAGUGCCGCAGUUAACACAAUAAGUAAUCCACCUGGGGAGUACGACCGCAAGGUUGAAACUCAAAGGAAUUGACGGGGGCC
RNAcentral lists this ribosomal RNA (837 nucleotides) under uncultured bacterium. RNAcentral's name for it is "bacterial SSU rRNA". It matches the Rfam family "Bacterial small subunit ribosomal RNA", at positions 69 to 921 of the family's 1533-position model. The record is from RNAcentral.